GCCUGAUUAGCAUAGUGGCUAAUGCGUCGCACUUGUAUUCGGGGACUCUCAACUCAAAAGGUUGCCCCCAAACUCGACAUGCGAAGAUCACAGGUUCAAUUCCUGUAUCAGGCA
Molecule: non-coding RNA, 114 nt
Organism: Chaetomium strumarium
Lineage: Eukaryota; Fungi; Ascomycota; Sordariomycetes; Sordariales; Chaetomiaceae
Source: the annotation of a RefSeq genome assembly